RNAcentral lists this ribosomal RNA (294 nucleotides) under uncultured bacterium. Its description in RNAcentral is "partial 16S ribosomal RNA". It matches the Rfam family "Bacterial small subunit ribosomal RNA", at positions 775 to 1067 of the family's 1533-position model. The record is from RNAcentral.
GGAUUAGAUACCCUGGUAGUCCACGCCGUAAACGAUGGGUACUAGAUGUUGCGGGAAUUGACCCCUGCAGUGUCGACGCUAACGCAUUAAGUACCCCGCCUGGGAAGUACGGUCGCAAGAUUAAAACUCAAAGGAAUUGACGGGGGCCCGCACAAGCGGUGGAGCAUGUGGUUUAAUUCGAUGCAACGCGAAGAACCUUACCUGGGUUUGACAUCCACUGACCGAUGUAGAGAUACAGUUUUUCCUUCGGGAACAGUGAGACAGGUGCUGCAUGGCUGUCGUCAGCUCGUGCCG